ACAAAAGAGGGCUGCUACCAAGUAGUAAAAACAUUUUCUGAGUGUUUUGGCUUAUAACACUACUCAGCAAAGUAGAAGAAAUUAAUAGCACUGUCACAUUUAUAAUAUGGCAAGAAUCAUGCUUCUGUCAUUUAAUUCUCAGUUGUGUCACACUGGCCUCAUCAUUCUCAUAUGAACUGGAUGUGAUUUACCUCACCCUGGGAAUCAUCCAGAGAAGCAGAAUGACCAGAAGUAAUGGAACCAGGAGUUGAAUCCAGCUCGAUGGUUCUGUGGUUGAUCCUGGUGCUGGCUGAUCUUUGUGAGUGUUCGCUUACUCUUCCCAGGGAAGAAAGUGAGAUCCCAGAUGCCACCAACAAAGAGAGAAGUGAAAACAGAGUGACAUAAUGGCACUGGCACUUAUAUUUGGAUUUGGCCCCAGUCCACUAUAAAGGUGGCGGGAUGCAAUAGCUGGUGCCGAAACCCGGGAUGAAAACCUGGCGUCCAAGGACGGAGUGGAACUUCUCACCCUGCGGCGAUCCGAGUGGACACCCUUUGGAAGAGUUACACGAGUGACUGACAUUUUGGAGAGUGGUGAGUAUGGUCAGGGACAAAGUGAAAGCAACAUCAGGUCGUGUGAAUGCAAGCAAUUGUGGUGUGUGUGUUUAGCCUUUGUGUUCCUUGUCUUGUUCUGUCUUAGUCUGUAUAU
Non-coding RNA from Manis javanica (Malayan pangolin), 685 nucleotides. NCBI's taxonomy places the organism in Eukaryota, Metazoa, Chordata, Mammalia, Pholidota, Manidae. The record is from RefSeq and is a predicted model, not a curated record.